GACAGAGGGUGCAAACGUUGUUCGGAAUUACUGGGCGUAAAGCGUGUGUAGGCGGCCGCAUAAGUCGGAUGUGAAAGCCCUGGGCUCAACCCAGGAAGUGCACUCGAUACUGCGCGGCUUGAGUACCGGAGAGGUUGGUAGAAUUCUCGGUGUAGAGGUGAAAUUCGUAGAUAUCGAGAGGAAUACCUGUGGCGAAGGCGGCCAACUGGACGAGUACUGACGCUGAGACACGAAAGCGUGGGGAGCAAACAGG
This 253-nucleotide ribosomal RNA is filed under the name uncultured bacterium. RNAcentral describes it as "partial 16S ribosomal RNA". It matches the Rfam family "Bacterial small subunit ribosomal RNA", at positions 524 to 776 of the family's 1533-position model. The record is from RNAcentral.